AUGAGGCUAAUUAUCGGGCAAGUUCAUCGGAAUGUUCUUGCGCUGGCGUCAUCUCGGUCAUGCUUUGUCAUCGGUGACCAUCUCCCGUUCAGAAUGCUGUCGUUGCCACGGGCAUCAGGGUUCCAUCAGACUGCUUGGCGGGGUAGUCAAACUGUCCAGGAUAGUGGCAGCACACUAACUCUGGCUAGCCUGGAAGUCCAAAGCAAAGCUGAUUAUGUGAAGAAGGAAAGGAUGCCACAAAGCAAAGCUGAUUACGUGAAGAAGGAAAGGGUGCCAGAAAGCAAAGCUGAUUAUGUGAAGAAGGAAAGGGGGCCACGAACUGGAGGGCCGAAGCCAAACUCAAGAGAUUCUGCUUUCAGUGUGAAACCAAAGAAGGUUUCUUCGCUUAAUCUGAAGCCAGCGAAGAGUGCCUUACCAAAGUCGCCAGUGGUGAAGAAGAAACUGAAGAUCGAUGAGGCUUUAUUUUCUGCAAGUUCAUUUGAAGAGCUCGGUCUGCCGCCUUUGCUCAUUGACCGGCUGAACAAGGAAGGCCUGACCUCUCCAACUGAGGUCCAGUCCGCUUCUAUUCCUGUCAUAUCUCAAAGGCAUGAUGCGGUUAUCCAAUCAUAUACUGGGUCAGGGAAAACACUUGCGUACCUUCUCCCUAUUCUUUCUGAAAUAGGGCCCCUGAAGAGGGCUAGAGAACAGGGUAAUUCUGAAAAGAGAUCAGGUAUAGAAGCUGUUGUUGUUGCUCCUUCAAGAGAACUAGGGAUGCAGAUAGUGCGAGAAGUGGAGAAGAUUUUGGGUCCUGAUGAUAAGAGACUUGUCCAGCAGCUUGUUGGCGGUGCUAACCGUUCGAGGCAAGAGGAAGCACUGAAGAAGAACAAGCCUAUUAUUGUUGUUGGAACACCUGGCCGCAUUUCGGAAAUUUCAGCGGCGGGUAAGCUACAAACUCAUAACUGCCGUUUUCUUGUACUGGAUGAAGUUGACCAGCUCUUAUCAUUCAAUUACCGUGAGGAUAUGCAUAGAAUACUGGAGCACGUUGGAAGGAAACCUAGCACUUCAUCUUCUAGUCACAUCCUUGGUCCACUUGCUAGGCGGUCUGACCGUCAGACAAUCUUGGUUUCAGCAACAGUGCCGUUUUCAGUUAUACGUGCAGCCAGGAGUUGGGGCCAUGAUCCAGUUCUUGUUAGGGCUAAGAGUGUAGUCCCGCUUGACUCGAUCACUGUUCCAAGGCCCAUGCUGUCCCAGGGUGACCCUAACUCUGAUUCUCCAACAAUGUCAGUGAAUCAAGCUGCAGUUGACAGCUUACCGCCAUCGUUGGAGCAUUACUACUGUACAACCAAGGCUCAUCACAAAGUUGACACCGUAAGGAGAUGCAUCCAUGCCCUGGAAGCAGAGACGGUGAUUGCAUUUAUGAACAACACCAAGCCACUGAAGGAUGUUGUGUUUAAGUUGGAGGCCCGUGGGAUGAAAGCUAUCGAGCUACAUGGAGAUCUUGGGAAGCUUGCAAGGUCAACAGUUCUAAAAAAGUUCAAGGCAGGUGAAUUCAGGGUUCUGGUCACAAACGAGCUGUCCGCCAGAGGACUGGACAUACCAGAAUGCGACCUUGUGAUCAACCUGGAUCUUCCCACAGACUCUACGCACUACGCCCACAGAGCUGGCCGGACUGGACGUCUUGGGCGGAAAGGGACCGUGGUCUCAAUAUGUGAAGAAAGUGAGGCAUUUAUCAUGAGGAAAAUGCGUAAGCAGUUAGGUGUGGCCAUCAAGCCAUGCGAAUUCACUGAAGGCCAGAUUACCGUUCAUAAAGAGGAAGACGUGGAAUAA
This 1806-nucleotide ribosomal RNA is filed under the name Triticum aestivum (bread wheat). Its description in RNAcentral is "partial small subunit ribosomal RNA". The record is from RNAcentral. Lineage: Eukaryota; Viridiplantae; Streptophyta; Magnoliopsida; Poales; Poaceae.